Molecule: ribosomal RNA, 448 nt
Filed under: uncultured bacterium
Lineage: Bacteria
Description: bacterial SSU rRNA
Rfam family: Bacterial small subunit ribosomal RNA
Source: RNAcentral
UGGGGAAUAUUGGACAAUGGGCGCAAGCCUGAUCCAGCCAUGCCGCGUGGAUGAUGAAGGCCCUAGGGUUGUAAAGUCCUUUUCGACGGGGAAGAUAAUGACGGUACCCGUAGAAGAAGCCCCGGCUAACUUCGUGCCAGCAGCCGCGGUAAUACGAAGGGGGCUAGCGUUGCUCGGAAUCACUGGGCGUAAAGGGCGCGUAGGCGGCAAUUCAAGUCAUCUGUGAAAUCUCCGGGCUUAACUCGGAACGGUCAGAUGAUACUGCUUUGCUAGAGUGCAGAAGGGGCAAUCGGAAUUCUUGGUGUAGCGGUGAAAUGCGUAGAUAUCAAGAGGAACACCUGAGGUGAAGACGGGUUGCUGGGCUGACACUGACGCUGAGGCGCGAAAGCCAGGGGAGCAAACGGGAUUAGAUACCCAAGUAGUCCCUGAGCGGGCUGGCAAGGCGCAU